GAUGAACGCUGGCGGCGUGCCUAAUACAUGCAAGUCGAGCGAACGGACGAGAAGCUUGCUUUUCUGAUGUUAGCGGCGGACGGGUGAGUAACGCGUGGAUAACCUACCUAUAUGACUGGGAUAACUUCGGGAAACCGGAUCUAAUACCGGAUAAUAUUUUGAACCGCAUUGUUCAAAAGUGAAAGACGGUCUUGCUGUCACUUAUAGAUGGCUCCGAGCUGCAUUAGCUAGUUGGUAAGGUAACGGCUUACCAAGGCUACGAUGCAUAGCCGACCUGAGAGGGUGAUCGGCCACACUGGAACUGAGACACGGUCCAGACUCCUACGGGAGGCAGCAGUAGGGAAUCUUCGGCAAUGGGCGGAAGCCUGACGGAGCAACGCCGCGUGAGUGAUGAAGGUCUUCGGAUCGUAAAACUCUGUUAUUAGGGAAGAACAGAUGUGUGAGUAAAUGUGGCCAUCUUGACGGUACCUAAAGAGAAAGCCACGGCUAACUACGUG
RNAcentral lists this ribosomal RNA (497 nucleotides) under uncultured bacterium. RNAcentral's name for it is "partial 16S ribosomal RNA". It matches the Rfam family "Bacterial small subunit ribosomal RNA", at positions 28 to 507 of the family's 1533-position model. The record is from RNAcentral.